RNAcentral lists this ribosomal RNA (368 nucleotides) under uncultured soil bacterium. Its description in RNAcentral is "bacterial SSU rRNA". It matches the Rfam family "Bacterial small subunit ribosomal RNA", at positions 26 to 404 of the family's 1533-position model. The record is from RNAcentral.
AGAUUGAACGCUGGCGGCAUGCCUAACACAUGCAAGCCGAACGGGAGUAGCAAUACUCUAGUGGCGGACGGGUGAGGAAUACGUAGGAAUUUGCCCUUAAGUGGGGGAUAACCCGGGGAAACCCGGAUUAAUACCGCAUGACCUCGAAAGAGCAAAGUGGGGGAUCGCAAGACCUCACGCUUUUGGAGAAGCCUACGUCGGAUUAGCUAGUUGGUGAGGUAAUGGCUCACCAAGGCGACGAUCCGUAACUGGUCUGAGAGGAUGAUCAGUCACACCGGAACUGAGACACGGUCCGGACUCCGUACGGGAGGCAGCAGUGGGGAAUAGUUGGACAAUGGGCGCAAGCCUGAUCCAGCAAUGCCGCGUGU